CCUACGGGUGGCAGCAGUAGGGAAUAUUGCUCAAUGGGGGAAACCCUGACGCAGCAACGCCGCGUGGAGGAUGAAGGUUUUAGGAUUGUAAACUCCUUUUGUUAGAGAAGAUAUGACGGUAUCUUACGAAUAAACCCCGGCUAACUCCGUGCCAGCAUCCGCGGUAAUUAGGAGGGUGCCAGCGUUCAUCGGAAUCACUUGGCGGAAAGAGGUCGUAGGGGGGGUAAGAAGUCCGAUGUGAACUCCUGUAGCUUAAAUACAGAACUGCAGUUGAAACUGUUACUCUGGAGUGUGGGAGGGGUAGGUGGAAUGCUAGGUGUAGGGGUAAAAUCCGUAGAGAUCAAGAGGAAUACUCAUUGCGAAGGCGACCUGCUGGAACAUUACUGACGCUGAUGCACGAAAGCGUGGGGAGCAAACAGGAUUAGAUACCCGAGUAGUC
Molecule: ribosomal RNA, 439 nt
Filed under: uncultured bacterium
Lineage: Bacteria
Description: partial 16S ribosomal RNA
Rfam family: Bacterial small subunit ribosomal RNA
Source: RNAcentral